CAGUAGCCGCGGGAAUACGUAGGUGGCAAGCGUUGUCCGGAAUUAUUGGGCGUAAAGGGCUCGCAGGCGGUUUCUUAAGUCUGAUGUGAAAGCCCCCGGCUCAACCGGGGAGGGUCAUUGGAAACUGGGAAACUUGAGUGCAGAAGAGGAGAGUGGAAUUCCACGUGUAGCGGUGAAAUGCGUAGAGAUAUGGAGGAACACCAGUGGCGAAGGCGACUCUCUGGUCUGUAACUGACGCUGAGGAGCGAAAGCGUGGGGAGCGAACAGGAUUAGAUACCCCUGUAGUCCCUGUCUCUUAUAC
Molecule: ribosomal RNA, 301 nt
Filed under: uncultured bacterium
Lineage: Bacteria
Description: partial 16S ribosomal RNA
Rfam family: Bacterial small subunit ribosomal RNA
Source: RNAcentral